GAUGAACGCUGGCGGCGUGCCUAAUACAUGCAAGUCGAGCGAACAGACGAGGCGCUUGCUCCUCUGACGUUAGCGGCGGACGGGUGAGUAACACGUGGAUAACCUACCUAUACGACUGGGAUCACUUCGGGAAACCGGAGCUAAUACCGGAUAAUAUAUUGAACCGCAUGGUUCAAUAGUGAAAGACGGGUUUGCUGUCACUUCUAGAUGGAUCCGCGCCGCAUUAGCUAGUUGGUACGGUAACGGCUUACCAAGGCAACGAUGCGUAGCCGACCUGGGAGGGUGAUCGGCCACACUGGAGCUGAGACACGGUCCAGGCUCCUACGGGAGGCAGAAGUAGGGAAGCUUCCGCAAUGGGCGGAAGCCUGACGGAGCAACGCCGCGUGAGUGAUGAAGGUCUUCGGAUCGUAAAACGCUGUUAUUAGGGAAGAACAAAUGUGUAAGUAACUAUGCACGUCGUGACGGUACCUAAUCAGAAAGCCACGGCUAACUACGUG
RNAcentral lists this ribosomal RNA (497 nucleotides) under uncultured bacterium. RNAcentral's name for it is "partial 16S ribosomal RNA". It matches the Rfam family "Bacterial small subunit ribosomal RNA", at positions 28 to 507 of the family's 1533-position model. The record is from RNAcentral.